GUGUCAGCCGCCGCGGUAACACGUAGGUGGCAAGCGUUGUCCGGAUUUACUGGGCGUAAAGGAAGCGUAGGCGGCUGUUUAAGUGAGAUGUGAAAUACCCGAGCUCAACUUGGGUGCUGCAUUUCAAACUGUAUAGCUAGAGUGCAGGAGAGGAAAGCGGAAUUCCUAGUGUAGCGGUGAAAUGCGUAGAGAUUAGGAAGAACACCAGUGGCGAAGGCGGCUUUCUGGACUGUAACUGACGCUGAGGCAUGAAAGCGUGGGGAGCAAACAGGAUUAGAUACCCAAGUAGUCC
This 292-nucleotide ribosomal RNA is filed under the name uncultured Clostridiaceae bacterium. RNAcentral's name for it is "partial 16S ribosomal RNA". It matches the Rfam family "Bacterial small subunit ribosomal RNA", at positions 505 to 796 of the family's 1533-position model. Lineage: Bacteria; Bacillati; Bacillota; Clostridia; Eubacteriales; Clostridiaceae. The record is from RNAcentral.